GGAGAGGUGGCAGAGUGGUUGAAUGCACCGCACUCGAAAUGCGGCAUAGGGGCAACCCUAUCGGGAGUUCGAAUCUCCCCCUCUCCG
This 87-nucleotide transfer RNA is filed under the name Camelimonas lactis. It matches the Rfam family "tRNA". From Rfam's summary of the family: Transfer RNA (tRNA) molecules are approximately 80 nucleotides in length. Their secondary structure includes four short double-helical elements and three loops (D, anti-codon, and T loops). Further hydrogen bonds mediate the characteristic L-shaped molecular structure. tRNAs have two regions of fundamental functional importance: the anti-codon, which is responsible for specific mRNA codon recognition, and the 3' end, to which the tRNAs corresponding amino acid is attached (by aminoacyl-tRNA synthetases). tRNAs cope with the degeneracy of the genetic code in two manners: having more than one tRNA (with a specific anti-codon) for a particular amino acid; and 'wobble' base-pairing, i.e. permitting non-standard base-pairing at the 3rd anti-codon position. Lineage: Bacteria; Pseudomonadati; Pseudomonadota; Alphaproteobacteria; Hyphomicrobiales; Chelatococcaceae. The record is from Rfam by way of RNAcentral. RNAcentral also lists the same sequence under 1 other name.